UCAGUGCUAUAUUUUUUACAGAUGUGUUGAUGAAUGGAUUUAUUUGCUGUAUUCACCUGUAGUGAAGUUCUGGCUCCAUCCAUUCUUUGACCCACUGUCUGCUCAGAAUGUACCAGCUGGGUUGAAAGGAAGCGAAAGGAAAAUAAAAAGAACCGUUGCCUCACAGUUUGAGUGACAAGUGUGGAUUUCCAACAGCUGAUUUGAAUGUGCCUCUUGACUGGAGCUUGGACCCCUCGUGGAGCGACGGCCUUCACAGCUGCUUCACACCCGAAGGACAGCGCGUCUCUGUUUUUGGGCCUCCUCAGCUGAUUGCGCGUGUUGAUUGGAGGCUUUGAUCAGGACAAACCUGCCCCAAGGGACACCUGUGGAAAAGAUGAUUACUCCGCUCCAACCAGGAUGAGUCACCGGGACAUUUGCCCCGGAGCAGAUUUAUGGCUCUGGGUUCACUCACUUUAUGCUGCACUAUAUAGGAUACCUGAGAGCAUUUGCUGGAUUCAUUAGUUGCUGUCUUGUUCGUGUCACUUGUUUAGAUUCUGCAAAGCAGGAGAGUGUUAAAUGUUAAAUGAUCCUGUACUUGUAUAACACUUUUUUUAUGGCUGGUAACCAAAUCGCAUUCAACGCUGCAUUCACAUAUUCACAAACACACAAUUAUACACUGGUGGCAGAACUUCUAUCCUGCUUAUGCUGACACCGGGGGCAACUUGGGUUCCAGUGUCUUGCCCAAGGACUCUUCGCCAAUGACUUGGGGAAGCCAGGAAUUGGACCACCGACCCUAUGCUUGAAGGACACUUAAUUGGUUGCAGCGGGUUACUCUGCAUUUGACCCAUCCCCUGGGGGAUGGGACCACGUGGUAGCAUCCAGGGACGUGGGACGCUCUGCUCCCCAGGCCCAUGCUCUGCUUAAUGAGCUACCAGGUCACUUCAUGAGACACCAAGAAGGAGAGAUAAAAUGCGUUGAGUGUCUAAAACACAAACGCUUCAUAGUGUUUCUGGAACAGUACAUAUCAUCAUGAAAUGAUGAUAUUUUGAUAUUUUACAUUGAUAGUUGGUAGAUCUAUACAUUAUGAGGCUCAGAGAUGGAGUGAUGACCCUUCCACAGAUAAUUGGCGCAGAUGAUAGAUGGAUGAAUGGAAAAGGGGACGUUAAAAAUAAUCCUGUCUGUGUAAAUGAGUUUUUUAUCUCUGUAGGUGUGAUUUAUCAUUGAAAUGAAAGUCAACAUAUUCUCCUUAGACAUAAAUUGGUGGAAAUCAACCAUUAAUAGUGUGACAGUUUAGGAAUGCGUGAGUUUGUUUAUUAUCUUGAAAGCUCCUCGUCCCUGUAUGAUAUUAUAGCCUCAGAGACUUUCUACUGUGGUUGUUCGCUGAGGAACAGAUCCACACACAGCACAUGUGGCUAUCACUUUGCAGAAAAGAGCUCUGAUGCCCCUUUUCUCUGCCAGUAUACUCACACUCUGGCCAUCUCAGGAUUUCUGGGGGGAAAAUGUUGAACAAUUACUCUCGGCAUUU
This is a long non-coding RNA of Betta splendens (Siamese fighting fish), 1504 nucleotides long. RefSeq lists it as uncharacterized. The record is from RefSeq and is a predicted model, not a curated record. Lineage: Eukaryota; Metazoa; Chordata; Actinopteri; Anabantiformes; Osphronemidae. The transcript is spliced from 4 exons.